RNAcentral lists this ribosomal RNA (253 nucleotides) under uncultured bacterium. RNAcentral's name for it is "partial 16S ribosomal RNA". It matches the Rfam family "Bacterial small subunit ribosomal RNA", at positions 524 to 776 of the family's 1533-position model. The record is from RNAcentral.
GACGAAGGGGGCUAGCGUUGCUCGGAAUCACUGGGCGUAAAGCGCACGUAGGCGGCUUUCUAAGUCAGGGGUGAAAUCCUGGAGCUCAACUCCAGAACUGCCUUUGAUACUGGAGAGCUUGAGUCCGGGAGAGGUGAGUGGAACUCCGAGUGUAGAGGUGAAAUUCGUAGAUAUUCGGAAGAACACCAGUGGCGAAGGCGGCUCACUGGCCCGGUACUGACGCUGACGUGCGAAAGCGUGGGGAGCAAACAGG